Hemibagrus wyckioides is the source of this 82-nucleotide non-coding RNA. Lineage: Eukaryota; Metazoa; Chordata; Actinopteri; Siluriformes; Bagridae. The record is from the annotation of a RefSeq genome assembly.
GCUGUGGUGGCUGAGUGGUUAAGGCAUUAGACCCAAAAUCCAAUGGGGUUUCUCUGCGCAGGUUCAAACCCUGCUCGCAGUG